Triticum urartu is the source of this 1314-nucleotide long non-coding RNA. RefSeq lists it as uncharacterized. NCBI's taxonomy places the organism in Eukaryota, Viridiplantae, Streptophyta, Magnoliopsida, Poales, Poaceae. The record is from RefSeq and is a predicted model, not a curated record.
CCUUUCACUCGUGCCCGAACCCCACCCGACCCCUCGUGCUCACCUCUCUCCCUCUUGCGCGAACCCUAGCGCUCCCCUCCUCCCUCCCGCCGCCAUCUCCAUCGCCCGACCUCCCGCCGCCACCUCCGUCUAGCGGAGCUCGCCGUCGUCCAUGGCCUCCCCCACGCCCUCCUGCUCUCUCCCCUCCGCUUCCCUCCCCAACACCCACAGCCGCCACCCUCUCCCUCCCUUAGAUCUCGAUCCACAGCCGCCCCCAAGCCCACCCCCACCGUCGACGACCCUCACCGUAGAAGAGGUCGAGCUCGUCCUCCCCUCUACCUCCCACGGAUCUCUCUCGCCCCUCUCGAUCCCUCUCGAAGCUCCCGCAUCCCACCUUGCACCCUCCCCCUUCUACUCCCAAACCCCGCGGCCCGGAUCAGAUUCCUCGAAUUCUGAUCUACCAGAUCGAAGCGGAGUGGGGGCGGGUGCGAGCUCGUUGGUGCUAGGCGGCCGCACGCGGGGUCGCUGCUAGGGGCCAUGCUCAUGGUGCUCUUCAACGUCAUCAGCGCCGACGAGGCCUACGCUGCCAUAGGCCAUGUCCCAGCCGCGUCGCCCGGACGAGGAAAGGAGAGGAGGACAAGCAGUCCCUGACGCCAAGGAGGACCAUGUUCCAUAUGCGAAGCGGGGCACGCGGCUCGACGAGGCCGGCGUCGCGCACUUCCUCGCCGCGCUGGAGCGGACGUGGAAGAAGACGGUGGCGGGCGCGUCGAGGAUGUUCGUGGAGAGGCACCGGAGCAGCCACGUGCAGCUCAUCAGCGACAUGGUCUAGCAGAUGAGAUCACCCAAGCUGCCGCCCGUCCACCCGCCUCGGCGCCGCCGUGCCCGUUGGAUGUUCAGUUUCUAUCUAUGAACAACGACCAAGUUCUCUUAACAGCGGGACAUCUGAGUUCGUCAUGGUGAUGGAAGCUGACACGGAGCCGCUCGAAAUCUCCUCGACCUCCCGUCAUGUUUCUUGCGGACGGCAAGAUGACCAAGCCCAAGGAGGAAGCAGCUGCUCAUCACUGAGGACAAGUAACUCCAGCAGGUGAAGUAUGAAGUGUGAAGCCGUGAAGCCUAUCAGCAAGAGUAGCAUAUUAUGUAUUGUAAUAUCAGGCAAAGUGUAAUAUUGGUCAGAGUAGCAUAUUAUGUAUUGUAAUAUUUAGUGUUGUUUUGGAUGAAUUUCAUUUGCUCUAUAAUCUGUUUGAAAUAUUGAUUGUGUAUAUAAUUUCAAUACCUAUGAAAUGGAAACCUGACCAGGGGGACCCACUUAUGAAAAUUGGUUGACAAAUUUUGAAA